RNAcentral lists this ribosomal RNA (500 nucleotides) under uncultured bacterium. RNAcentral describes it as "partial 16S ribosomal RNA". It matches the Rfam family "Bacterial small subunit ribosomal RNA", at positions 30 to 523 of the family's 1533-position model. The record is from RNAcentral.
AUUGAACGCUGGCGGCAUGCCUUACACAUGCAAGUCGAACGGCAGCACGGGAGCAAUCCUGGUGGCGAGUGGCGAACGGGUGAGUAAUGUAUCGGAACGUGCCCAGUCGUGGGGGAUCACGCAGCGAAAGCUGUGCUAAUACCGCAUACGAUCUAUGGAUGAACGCGGGGGAUCGCAAGACCUCGCGCGAUUGGAGCGGCCGAUAUCAGAUUAGGUAGUUGGUGGGGUAAAGGCCCACCAAGCCGACGAUCUGUAGCUGGUCUGAGAGGACGACCAGCCACACUGGGACUGAGACACGGCCCAGACUCCUACGGGAGGCAGCAGUGGGGAAUUUUGGACAAUGGGCGCAAGCCUGAUCCAGCAAUGCCGCGUGCAGGAUGAAGGCCUUCGGGUUGUAAACUGCUUUUGUACGGAGCGAAACGGCUUCCACUAAUACUGGGGGCUAAUGACGGUACCGUAAGAAUAAGCACCGGCUAACUACGUGCCAGCCGCCGCAGUAA